AAUGCCGCUGGCCCGCGCGUUUGCUCUAACCAGAGAGUCGCGUCGAAGAGGCAACCCUUAGCUCUAGUUAGAGCUGGCGCGUUUGCGGAGUGUCGUGUAUGGGUGCUAAUAAUGAUUUUCGUUGCGCGUAAAGCGUUUUUACCCUUUUCCACACAAACAUGACGGAUUUAAAUUAGCACCUGUAAAGAAUAGCAAAGCGGAAAAAUGGAAGAUAGCUCGCCAGAUUUAAGUUUAAAGUUACGGAGGGGCUCGAGCGAUUCUAGGGAUUCUUUCUACAUGGAUUUCGAUAAGGGCAUUGAUUCGGAUAUCGAAGAAAUGGCUACAACGUCCGCCGCCGAUCUGGGUGAUACUACCGCCGAAACGACCGCCACCCCUACGGCGGCUCCGCAGCAAAAAGAUGAAAGAGCGAGUUUGAUUCGGCAAAGUAUAUCUCAGGAAAAGAGAAAACGAAAACUGUAAUGAAAUGGAGUGCCAAUUGAUUUGGACCGGAAGUACUGCGAUAUUGCAACGAUUUUAAGCCUACUGAGCAUUAUAUAUGUGCAAUAUUUUCGACCGGUAAAUAAAGUGGAUCAACGAUACGAAUAAUGAAUGUGCCCGGGUAGUUGGGCAAUGAACUGAUCAAACACAGAUUAAUAUUUGGGAAAAGGAUUGAUAGGUUUUUGAAAUUUACAAAUACAUCGUCCUUUCUUAAUAAAACUGAGCGCAUCUUAGGUAUCAUAUCGUAAAUCCAUGGGGGGUGUGACGUCGAGCUGGCGUUUGAUCCUUCACUCAACGGUUUGAUGUAAGAUACUUAUGCGAACUACGAACCGAAACCCUCUACCUACACUUUAUCUUAUGAAGGGGACACCCUAAGAAAUAAAUGAUAGAUCCAGUUUUCACCGAGAGGAAUGUCCAAACAAAUUUGUGAGGAAAUGACCAUUUGUUGGAACAUUACCGGAUUAUACCCAUAUUCGGUUUUUAAAAUGUCUGAGCAUGAUGGCAGAGGGCAUAUGAUUUGAAGGGGAGAACUCGUAAGUGAAAAGGCUCGAUGUCGACACAAAAAUAAAAACGCAUGUCGCAUUAAAACAAAUUGCGAAGUGCAUUCAUGGGAAGUAACCCGCGAAUACGUUAAUGGAACGAUUUAAGCUAAUAGAAUAAUAGCUUUGUUACCCGUUCUAACCCUACACACUUAGUGUGCGCAUCCAACUGGCUUAUGUUGUACCUUCCAAUAAUGGCUGGUUCCAAUUAAAUUACACUAAAAAUGCUAAUCGAAGACAAAACGUUAAGGUAUGUCCUUUUCAACGUACGAAGACGUGCACCCCAAGGGAAUGAAAGGAAACCUAAAAUAGAUCAUAAAAACAAUUCUGUUUCCUGAACUGACGAAAAACAGUUGGCCCACAAUUCCGCCCCAGAAUAUCAGUGGAGGUAGUCGAAGUAGCGCGUUAGGUGGCGGCGAUCCCUUGCUGCCGUCCCCUGCUUCGCCGAGUGCCAUUAUUGUUUCCCCGGAAACGCUGAGCCACCAGUCGUCUCCCAGCAAGGCGGCAAAACAAGGGCAUGUGCAAAUAGCGCCGACACCAAGGUAUCUUUUGCGGCACAAUGCAUGCUGCAUACGCAGUAAAUCAAUUGUCAAAGAACUACAGCUCAAUCUCGGUGUCGUGACAUAAUAAGCUUAAAUUCUCGGCACGCGAUUUCCCCUGGAAUCUUAAUACGGCGACGUUUUGUGCGUUGAAGUCACGGAAUGCUUAAAGAAUCACGGCAAAUAUUUGGAAACCUUUUAAUUACCUCUGCGCCAGUGUUUCGUAAUUGAGAAGGGUAGACUGAAUUUCAUUUUUAAGCUCGGUGUUUGUAUACCACCUU
This is an RNA transcript of Photinus pyralis (common eastern firefly), 1836 nucleotides long. It is a transcript of the gene named proton channel OtopLc-like, with no coding region annotated. The record is from RefSeq and is a predicted model, not a curated record. The transcript is spliced from 5 exons. Lineage: Eukaryota; Metazoa; Arthropoda; Insecta; Coleoptera; Lampyridae.